GACGAACGCUGGCGGCGUGCUUAACACAUGCAAGUCGAACGGAAAGGCCCUGCUUUUGUGGGGUGCUCGAGUGGCGAACGGGUGAGUAACACGUGAGUAACCUGCCCUUGACUUUGGGAUAACUUCAGGAAACUGGGGCUAAUACCGGAUAGGAGCUCCUGCUGCAUGGUGGGGGUUGGAAAGUUUCGGCGGUUGGGGAUGGACUCGCGGCGUAUCAGCUGGUUGGUGGGGUAGUGGCUUACCAAGGCUUUGACGGGUAGCCGGCCUGAGAGGGUGACCGGACGCACUGGAACUGGGACACGGUCCAGACUCCUACGGGAGGCAGCAGUAGGGAAUGUGCCGCAAUGGGCGAAAGCCGGACGGAGCAACGCCGCGUGAGUGAUGAAGGUCUUCGGAUCGGAAAACUCUGUUAUUAGGGAAGAACAAAUGUGUAAGUAACUAUGCACGUCUUGACGGUACCGAAUCAGAAAGCCACGGCUAACUACGUG
This 488-nucleotide ribosomal RNA is filed under the name uncultured bacterium. Its description in RNAcentral is "partial 16S ribosomal RNA". It matches the Rfam family "Bacterial small subunit ribosomal RNA", at positions 28 to 507 of the family's 1533-position model. The record is from RNAcentral.